AGGAGCAUGUGGUUAAUUCGAUGAUACGCGAGGAACCUUACCUGGGCUCGAACGUAAGAUGACUGUAGGUGAAAGCUUACAUCUCUUCGGAGCAUUUUACGAGGUGCUGCAUGGUUGUCGUCAGCUCGUGCCGUGAGGUGUCGGGUUAAAUCCCAUAACGAGCGCAACCCUACCUUUAGUUGCCAUCAGGUAAUGCUGGGGACUCUAAAGGAACUGCCUACGCAAGUAGUGAGGAAGGCGGGGAUGACGUCAAAUCAGCACGGCCCUUACGUCCAGGGCUACACACGUGCUACAAUGGCCGAUACAGAGGGCAGCUACCUGGUGACAGGAUGCAAAUCUCCAAAGUCGGUCUCAGUUCGGAUCGGAGUCUGCAACCCGACUCCGUGAAGUUGGAUUCGCUAGUAAUCGCGCAUCAGCCAUGGCGCGGUGAAUACGUUCCCGGGCCUU
This 447-nucleotide ribosomal RNA is filed under the name uncultured Sphingobacteriales bacterium. RNAcentral describes it as "bacterial SSU rRNA". It matches the Rfam family "Bacterial small subunit ribosomal RNA", at positions 933 to 1382 of the family's 1533-position model. The record is from RNAcentral. Lineage: Bacteria; Pseudomonadati; Bacteroidota; Sphingobacteriia; Sphingobacteriales.